GACGAACGCUGGCGGCGUGCUUAACACAUGCAAGUCGAGCGGUAAGGCCCUUUCGGGGGUACACGAGCGGCGAACGGGUGAGUAACACGUGGGUGACCUGCCCUCAGCUCUGGGAUAAGCCUGGGAAACCGGGUCUAAUACCGGAUAUGACUCCAUGACGCAUGUUGUGGGGUGGAAAGCCUUGUGCGGCUGAGGAUGGGCCCGUGGCCCUAUCAGCUUGUUGGUGGGGUGAUGGCCUACCAAGGCGACGACGGGUAGCCGGCCUGAGAGGGCGACCGGGCCACACUGGGACUGAGACACGGCCCAGACUCCUACGGGAGGCGAGCAGUGGGGAAUCUUGCGCAAUGGGCGAAAGCCUGACGCAGCGACGCCGCGUGA
This 378-nucleotide ribosomal RNA is filed under the name uncultured bacterium. Its description in RNAcentral is "bacterial SSU rRNA". It matches the Rfam family "Bacterial small subunit ribosomal RNA", at positions 28 to 404 of the family's 1533-position model. The record is from RNAcentral.